Molecule: ribosomal RNA, 291 nt
Filed under: uncultured bacterium
Lineage: Bacteria
Description: partial 16S ribosomal RNA
Rfam family: Bacterial small subunit ribosomal RNA
Source: RNAcentral
GCCUACGGGACGCAGCAGUAGGGAAUUUUCGUCAAUGGGCGCAAGCCUGAACGAGCAAUGCCGCGUGAACGAGGAAGGUCUUCGGAUCGUAAAGUUCUGUUGAAGGGGAAAAAGAGCGGAGAGAGGAAAUGGUCUCCGAUUGAUAUUACCCUGUGAGAAAGUCACGGCUAACUACGUGCCAGCAGCCGCGGUAAUACGUAGGUGACAAGCGUUGUCCGGAUUUACUGGGUGUAAAGGGCGCGUAGGCGGGAUAGCAAGUCAGUCGUGAAAUGCCGAGGCUUAACCUCGGAG